This 259-nucleotide ribosomal RNA is filed under the name uncultured Leptotrichia sp. RNAcentral's name for it is "partial 16S ribosomal RNA". It matches the Rfam family "Bacterial small subunit ribosomal RNA", at positions 96 to 355 of the family's 1533-position model. The record is from RNAcentral. Lineage: Bacteria; Fusobacteriati; Fusobacteriota; Fusobacteriia; Fusobacteriales; Leptotrichiaceae.
UGGCGGACGGGUGAGUAACGCGUAAAGAACUUGCCCUUUAGGCUGGGAUAACAGAGGGAAACUUCUGAUAAUACUGGAUAAGUUAGUAUAUCGCAUGAUAUGCAAAUGAAAGCUACGGCACUAAAGGAGAGCUUUGCGUCCUAUUAGCUAGUUGGUAAGGUAAGAGCUUACCAAGGCGAUGAUAGGUAGCCGGCCUGAGAGGGUGGACGGCCACAAGGGGACUGAGAUACGGCCCUUACUCCUACGGGAGGCAGCAGCU